RNAcentral lists this ribosomal RNA (418 nucleotides) under uncultured delta proteobacterium. RNAcentral's name for it is "bacterial SSU rRNA". It matches the Rfam family "Bacterial small subunit ribosomal RNA", at positions 9 to 425 of the family's 1533-position model. Lineage: Bacteria; Deltaproteobacteria. The record is from RNAcentral.
GAGUUUGAUCGUGGCUCAGAGCGAACGUUAGCGGCGCGCCUAACACAUGCAAGUCGCACGGAGUAGCAAUACUCAGUGGCGCACGGGUGCGUAACACGUAGAUAAUCUGCCCUUCAGCGGGGGAUAACGUUCCGAAAGGAGCGCUAAUACCGCAUACAGCGUUUGGUGGUUCGCCACUGGACGGCAAAGGCUGGGAUCUUCGGACCAGUCACUGAAGGAGGAGUCUGCGGCCCAUCAGCUAGUUGGUGAGGUAAUGGCUCACCAAGGCAAAGACGGGUAGCUGGUCUGAGAGGAUGAUCAGCCACACUGGUACUGGAACACGGACCAGACUCCUACGGGAGGCAGCAGUGGGGAAUCUUGGUCAAUGGGCGCAAGCCUGAACCAGCGACGCCGCGUGAGUGACGAAGGCCUUCGGUUG